This 253-nucleotide ribosomal RNA is filed under the name uncultured bacterium. RNAcentral's name for it is "partial 16S ribosomal RNA". It matches the Rfam family "Bacterial small subunit ribosomal RNA", at positions 524 to 776 of the family's 1533-position model. The record is from RNAcentral.
UACAGAGGUCUCAAGCGUUGUUCGGAUUCAUUGGGCGUAAAGGGUGCGUAGGCGGCGUGGUAAGUCUGGUGUGAAAUUUCGGAGCUUAACUCCGAAGCUGCAUUCGAUGCUGCUGUGCUUGAGGACUGGAGAGGAGACUGGAAUUUACGGUGUAGCAGUGAAAUGCGUAGAGAUCGUAAGGAAGACCAGUGGCGAAGGCGGGUCUCUGGACAGUACCUGACACUGAGGCACGAAGGCCAGGGGAGCAAACGGG